RNAcentral lists this ribosomal RNA (439 nucleotides) under uncultured bacterium. RNAcentral describes it as "partial 16S ribosomal RNA". It matches the Rfam family "Bacterial small subunit ribosomal RNA", at positions 338 to 795 of the family's 1533-position model. The record is from RNAcentral.
CCUACGGGUGGCAGCAGUGGGGGAUAUUGCACAAUGGGGGAAACCCUGAUGCAGCGACGCCGCGUGUGGGAAGACGGUCCUCUGGAUUGUAAACCACUGUCCCCAGGGACGAAGCUGACGGUACCUGGGAUGAAGCUCCGACUAACUACGUGCCAGCAGCCGCGGUAAUACGUAGGGAGCGAGCGUUGUCCGGAAUUACUGAGUGUAAGGGGGGCGUAGGCGGGAAUGCAAGUUGGGGGUAAAAUCUACCGGCUCAACCGGUAGCCGCACUCAAAACUGCAGUUCUUGAGAGAAGUAGAGGCAGGCGGAAUUCCUAGUGUAGCGGUGAAAUGCGUAGAUAUUAGGCGGAACACCAGUGGCGAAGGCGGCCUGCUGGGCUUUUACUGACGCUGAGGCUCGAAAGUGUGGGGAGCAAACAGGAUUAGAUACCCGGGUAGUC